Molecule: ribosomal RNA, 437 nt
Filed under: uncultured Oscillospiraceae bacterium
Lineage: Bacteria; Bacillati; Bacillota; Clostridia; Eubacteriales; Oscillospiraceae
Description: partial 16S ribosomal RNA
Rfam family: Bacterial small subunit ribosomal RNA
Source: RNAcentral
ACGGAAGGCAGCAGUGGGGAAUAUUGGGCAAUGGGCGAAAGCCUGACCCAGCGACGCCGCGUGAAGGAAGAAGGUCUUCGGAUUGUAAACUUCUUUUAUGAGGGACGAAGGACGUGACGGUACCUCAUGAAUAAGCCACGGCUAACUACGUGCCAGCAGCCGCGGUAAUACGUAGGUGGCAAGCGUUAUCCGGAUUUACUGGGUGUAAAGGGCGCGUAGGCGGGGAUGCAAGUCAGAUGUGAAAUCUAUGGGCUUAACUCAUAAACUGCAUUUGAAACUGUAUCUCUUGAGUGCUGGAGAGGGAGAUGGAAUUCCUUGUGUAGCGGUGAAAUGCGUAGAUAUAAGGAAGAACACCAGUGGCGAAGGCGAUCUACUGGACAGUAACUGACGCUGAGGCGCGAAAGCGUGGGGAGCAAGCAGGAUUAGAUACCCUGGUA